Long non-coding RNA from Hyla sarda, 432 nucleotides. RefSeq lists it as uncharacterized. The transcript has 3 exons. NCBI's taxonomy places the organism in Eukaryota, Metazoa, Chordata, Amphibia, Anura, Hylidae. The record is from RefSeq and is a predicted model, not a curated record.
GCUCCUUCUGCCCUUCCGUCUACUGUUACUACAGCAGAAUAUUGACUGUGACGUAAACACAGACAGUGAGGGAGCCGAUCACAGCAACUUUAGAUCUGCAGAGCUGUCAGUCAUGAAGUGGGUCCAUGACGUAGGUGAUGACGAGUGGACACAGCCAGGCUGGAGACAAGGAUUCUUCAAACACCAAGCAAUCGAUGAUAGGCCAGGGUAAAAACCUCUAAGGCCCUCAGUACUUACGGACCCCGAGACCACUGGAGGUUCUGGAGUCUUUGCUGGUGAGCUCAUGAUGCAGCCUGGGUGAAUCCAACGCUGGAAUCAAACUGGAGAAACUUCCAUAGGAGAGAGGGGCUCUUUAUGGGAAAAGGCUGCUCUCAAAUUUAAAUUUACAGCGCUGAAGAGGCGUCAGAUGCCAGUAUCUCGGCGGGAAGGUGU